Long non-coding RNA from Carassius auratus (goldfish), 954 nucleotides. RefSeq lists it as uncharacterized. Lineage: Eukaryota; Metazoa; Chordata; Actinopteri; Cypriniformes; Cyprinidae. The transcript is spliced from 5 exons. The record is from RefSeq and is a predicted model, not a curated record.
AGUUGCAAAAGAGAGGAUCCUCACUCAGUUGAAGGAUACACUGAGGAAACCACUCCACUCCACUCCAUGCAGAACCAAUCCAUUACAUAGUGAGGAGGAAGUUGAAUCCGAAACGGUGGACACAAACGUGGAUUUGUUCAAUUACCCAGGGAAUUCUCAACCAACCAAACAAAAAAAGGUUGCAAAUGAGAGGGUCCUCACUCAGCUGAAGCAUACACUGAGGAAACCACUCCACUCUGAUCCACGCAGAACCAAUCCGUUACAUAGUGAGGAGGAAGUUCAAGCCGAAACCGUGGACACAAAUGUGGAUUUGUUCGAUUACCCAGAGAAUUUUCAACCAACCAAAUUCCCACCUUAGUGCAGUGUGUAAAGGAACUAAUAUCCUCAAUGAACAGAGGGAUCGAUACAGCAAGCACAAGCUCAGGGUCCUCCAGCUCAGCCCAAGAGAUGAUUUCUCUGGGCAACAUGGCUGUCCAAGUCAACAAAACCUGCUUUAGGAGAUUGAAUAGGAGCAGAAUGUCCCUGUUCACUCAAGAGUUAGCUGUUUUGUUGUUUGGGAGGGAGGUUCUGGGUUCAUCUAGCCUCACUGGGAAUAGGUCCCAAAAAGAACGGCUGAACCCAGAAAAAAUGAAUGCACUUAUUGACACUGUUAUAUCCGAGUUUCCGGGCACGUCACAGUCCGAGGUUAGAGCCGUAAUAUGGCGAAAGUGCAAUAACGAAAGUUUUGUUUCAAAAAAAAAAACACUGUAAAGGUAAUUUUUUGUUGUUGUUGGGAAAGGAAUGUGAAAGUAAAGAAGAAAUUUGUGUUUUGUUCAUAUAAGAUACGUACAGUAAUCUGUAGUUUAAUCAUUUUAUUAAAGGGUUAGUUCACCCAAAAAUCGAAAAGUUCUUUGUAUUUAGUCACCCGCGUGUUGUUCUAAACCCUUAAGACUUCCAUUAACCAUUGCAUCACAA